RNAcentral lists this ribosomal RNA (508 nucleotides) under uncultured bacterium. RNAcentral describes it as "partial 16S ribosomal RNA". It matches the Rfam family "Bacterial small subunit ribosomal RNA", at positions 30 to 523 of the family's 1533-position model. The record is from RNAcentral.
AUUGAACGCUGGCGGCAGGCCUAACACAUGCAAGUCGAGCGGCAGCGGGAAAGUAGCUUGCUACUUUUGCCGGCGAGCGGCGGACGGGUGAGUAAUGCCUGGGAAAUUGCCCAGUCGAGGGGGAUAACAGUUGGAAACGGCUGCUAAUACCGCAUACGCCCUACGGGGGAAAGCAGGGGCUCUUCGGACCUUGCGCGAUGGGAUAUGCUCAGGUGGGAUUAGCUAGUUGGUGAGGUAAUGGCUCACCAAGGCGACGAUCCCUAGCUGGUCUGAGAGGAUGAUCAGCCACACUGGAACUGAGACACGGUCCAGACUCCUACGGGAGGCAGCAGUGGGGAAUAUUGCGCAAUGGGGGAAACCCUGAUGCAGCCAUGCCGCGUGUGUGAAGAAGGCCUUCGGGUUGUAAAGCACUUUCAGCGAGGAGGAAAGGUUGGCGCCUAAUACGUGUCAGCUGUGACGUUACUCGCAGAAGAAGCACCGGCUAACUCCGUGCCAGCAGCCGCCGUAA